RNAcentral lists this long non-coding RNA (1134 nucleotides) under Anser brachyrhynchus (Pink-footed goose). RNAcentral describes it as "lncRNA (ENSABRG00000008211.1)". Lineage: Eukaryota; Metazoa; Chordata; Aves; Anseriformes; Anatidae. The record is from RNAcentral.
CCCCCCCGAAGGGCCCCGUCCCCUUUAACCCCUUCCGUGCCGCCCCGCAGCGCGGCCUUGGGGGCUCCCGGGGCUCGUCCCGGCCCCAGCCCGCGGCCCCGACCCGCACCGAGCUGUGGCACAGCCGGGACGGGGGCACCGCACCGGCGGCACCGGGCACCGCGGGGCAGGGCACGGGGGCACCGGGCACCGGGGACGGGGGCACCGGGUGCCGGGGACACGGACACCGGGUACCGGGGUACCCAAGAGCUGGAGCCGCAGGGCCGGGGCCGCACCACCCGCGGCAGCCCCGGGCACCAGCCCUGCACCCGCCGUCCCGCGCCCCGCUGCCUCCCGCGCCCCGUUACCGGGUGCCACCGCGGCCGGGCCGAGCAGCGCGCCCUGCCACCCGUGCCACCGGUGCCACCAUCCCCGCGCGGGCAGCAUCAGCCUUCACAUGACCCAGUUCCUCUCCUGCCUGGCGCAGCCUCUGUUGGCUCCGGGCCUGUUUACGCCGCGGUGGCACCGGAGCUGAGCGCCCCGGCACACCCGGCCUCCGCAGGAAGGCCCCAGCGGCACCGGGGCACUGCUGGGGUGACCGCAGGCGGCGGUGGCGCAGCGCGGUGGGGGUGUGGGCCCUGUCCCCACAGCAGCCCCGGGCUCCGUGCCCAGCCACGGCCACAGAGCACGGCGAGGUGCCACGGCUGCGCGGCCUUGCAGGAGGCCGGGCCGGUGGGAGCACGGGCAGGCGGUGCCGCCGCGUCCUGGCACCGCGUGAGCCGGGCUGGCGGCACAGGGGCAACACCAGGAGCCCCGGCACAGGCCCCGGCGUGCUGCAGAGGGAGAGGAGCCCGGCCUCUGCUCCGCUGCCUCCGCUCCGCCCGUGGCCCCGCGGCCGGGAUGGAGCUCGGCGCCGCCACAGGAGGCAGCGGGCAGGGGCGAGGCGCUGGCAGCCGGCGAGGCCCCGGAGCUGGCACUGUGCCGGGACUGGGGUGGCGCCGGGCGAGGGCGACGCUGCAGGCACGCAGAGCGGGGCCGCGGGGCCCAGGCGUCCGCAGCGCACCCGAGCUCCGUGGGCACCAGCAGCACGCAGGCAGCGAGCGUCCACACGGACACUGCCGGCACGUCCGUCUGCACCAGGCACACCCACGUGCA